UCUAAUAUGGCAGAAAAAUGCAACAAUCUUAAGAUUUGUAGAUAAAUAUUAUUAUUUUGUUAGAA
This 65-nucleotide transfer RNA is filed under the name Zorka agnesae. RNAcentral's name for it is "tRNA-Leu". The record is from RNAcentral. Lineage: Eukaryota; Metazoa; Arthropoda; Insecta; Hemiptera; Cicadellidae.